This 292-nucleotide ribosomal RNA is filed under the name uncultured Perlucidibaca sp. Its description in RNAcentral is "partial 16S ribosomal RNA". It matches the Rfam family "Bacterial small subunit ribosomal RNA", at positions 505 to 796 of the family's 1533-position model. The record is from RNAcentral. Lineage: Bacteria; Pseudomonadati; Pseudomonadota; Gammaproteobacteria; Pseudomonadales; Perlucidibacaceae.
GUGUCAGCCGCCGCGGUAAUACAGAGGGUGCAAGCGUUAAUCGGAAUUACUGGGCGUAAAGCGCGCGUAGGCGGUUGUGUAAGUUGGAUGUGAAAGCCCCGGGCUUAACCUGGGAAUGGCAUUCAAAACUGCACGGCUAGAGUGUGGGAGAGGAAGGUAGAAUUCCAGGUGUAGCGGUGAAAUGCGUAGAGAUCUGGAGGAAUACCGAUGGCGAAGGCAGCCUUCUGGCCUAACACUGACGCUGAGGUGCGAAAGCAUGGGGAGCAAACAGGAUUAGAAACCCUAGUAGUCC